Non-coding RNA from Thamnophis sirtalis, 1791 nucleotides. The record is from RefSeq and is a predicted model, not a curated record. Lineage: Eukaryota; Metazoa; Chordata; Lepidosauria; Squamata; Natricidae.
ACGUCCAGAAUUAAUCACCGAAGCAUGUGUGUCUUCCUCAGACUUCUGUAAAAGGCUGAAAAAAUAUGUUGUUGCUUUAAUAAUUCUAUCUUGGAAAAGAUUGCCUUAAAGUGAUAGCAUCAGCUGCCAUCUUAUGUUUGCUUGUAGUUCACUACAUUAUGGUCAGAAACUGCAAUGAACUGUGGGGAUGGAGGAAGGCAAGGGGGAAAAUGAAAGUUUAAAUGGUGGCAGGUCUGACAGAUGAAGACAGCCAAAUGUUCUGUUCUUGAUUGGUGUGCUGUGAAACAUCAUCUGAAGAUCAAAUUCAAAGUACUAUUCAGUAGUAUUUGAUUGCCAUAAGGCCAUAGAUUAUUCAUAAAUAUUCUGCACAUUAUGAUUCUUUGGCUUACAGCAGCUACAACAAACUCAACACUGGAAUUCUUGCAAGAGCCACAUCACAAAACUGAUUUGCCUUAAAUAACAAGGCAAUUAUAUUUCACAAAAUAAAUAUAUUUUUAAAUUUUGUUUGCCUACUUAUAAGCAUUUCAAAUUGUAUUAUUUUCAAAAAUUGUGUUUCAAUUCAAAUAUUUGCCAACAUUCCUAAUUUUACAAUGAAGAGACUUUUGAGAAAAGACCUGAUCAUUUUGUUAGAAUGCAUUUAUUACAGAACAAUAAUCAGAAUCCUCAUAUUAAAAUAGCAGGAAUGAAACUGAAGGCCUAUCAGAAAAGUUUUUAAAAAUCCACAAAUUAUGAGUUGCAUGGAAAGAAGAAAGUUUCAGCUUAAAUAGCAUGCAUUUACUAGAAAAAAGAACUUCUCUACAUCAAUAAGGAUGGCAUUUUUACAAAUUUAAGGUGAUGGGAACUAGUCAAAAAAUAUUAUGCACUCUUCAAUGAGGGUAGUCAAAACAACAUGAAUAAAUAUAAAUGUCUUUUAUGCUGGCUAAUUACACCAUUUUGAUUUAUUUAUAUUUCACACAUAGAAGAAGACACUGUCUGCUUUCUGCAACAAGAAAGAACACAUUCUAUUCAUCUACUUUCUAAAACUGUAACAGCUGUUAUGUGCAUGGCUAAACCUAAAUGCUUCUAAAUGUAUUAAGGAUAGAUUGACUCAAGUCUAUUAAAUCAAGUCAAAUAAAGUCAAAUCAGUUACUGUAAUUCAAAAAGGCUCCUUCAAACUCUUAUAGUCAAUUGAAUUGAAACUAUUAAAUAGUUAACUGUAUUAUAUCUUUAAAAAAACUUAAUUGGUUUAAAAGAUAUGUCCUGUUUUUUUAAAAAAAUUACUAGGUCACAUAAUUAAAGAACGGUAUCGUCAAAUUAAGUACCAGCAAAAUUUAACUGUAAUGUAUCUUGGUUGCAGAAAAUAUAACUUCAGUAACAGGGUUGUCAAUGCCUCGAAUGCACUACCUGACAAUGUGGUUUCUUCCUCAAACCACCAAAACUUUAACCUUAGACUGUCUACUGUCAACCUCACCCCAUUCCUAAGAGGUCUUUAAGGGGCGUGCAUAAGCGCAUAAGGGUGCCUACUGUUCCUGUCGUAAUAUUCCCUUGUACUCAUAUUAAUUUCAUGUAUUCAUAAUCAUGUCUAUACUUGUAUAUCUGUUAUCUAAUUCAUGCUUGAUGAAAUAAAUAAAUAAACAAAUAAAAAUAAAUAAAAUACAUGAAUCUUAUAGACAUAUGGAUCCUGUGAAAUGGUUAUACACUAUACAUUUGGGAUGUACUAUUUUGUUGUAGGAAACCCCUUCCCUCAGAUGUAAAUGUUCUUUAUUUUUAAUAUUAAAAAGAGAUAAAAUAUUUCCUCAGAGGAGAAAGGGA